This 117-nucleotide non-coding RNA is filed under the name Desulfoluna spongiiphila. The record is from RNAcentral. Lineage: Bacteria; Pseudomonadati; Thermodesulfobacteriota; Desulfobacteria; Desulfobacterales; Desulfolunaceae.
GAGGGUAGGCCCCUCGGACUCGAUCACCAGAGAUCGGGGCCAAACCGCCCUAUGCGGCUUUCAUUAAGAGUGAUGGUCGUGAGCGAUAGGGAAAAGGCAGAAAGAAACCUGUCAGGU